Molecule: ribosomal RNA, 465 nt
Filed under: uncultured bacterium
Lineage: Bacteria
Description: bacterial SSU rRNA
Rfam family: Bacterial small subunit ribosomal RNA
Source: RNAcentral
CACAUGCAAGUCGAACGGAGUUAGCGCUUCCGAAGCUUCGGCAGAGGAUUGCUAAACUAGUGGCGGACGGGUGAGUAACGCGUGGGUAACCUGCCAUAUACAGGGGGAUAACACUUAGAAAUAGGUGCUAAUACCGCAUAAGCGCACAGCAUCGCAUGAUGCAGUGUGAAAAACUCCGGUGGUAUAUGAUGGACCCGCGUCUGAUUAGCUAGUUGGUGAGGUAACGGCCCACCAAGGCGACGAUCAGUAGCCGGCCUGAGAGGGUGAACGGCCACAUUGGGACUGAGACACGGCCCAAACUCCUACGGGAGGCAGCAGUGGGGAAUAUUGCACAAUGGGGGAAACCCUGAUGCAGCCGACGCCGCGUGAGUGAAGAAGUAUUUCGGUAUGUAAAGCUCUAUCAGCAGGGAAGAUAAUGACGGUACCUGACUAAGAAGCCCCGGCUAACUACGUGCCAGCAGCAGC